UUUAAUUCGAAGCAACGCGAAGAACCUUACCUAAGCUUGACAUCCCAAUGACAUCUCCUUAAUCGGAGAGUUCCCUUCGGGGACAUUGGUGACAGGGGGUGCAUGGUUGUCGUCAGCUCGUGUCGUGAGAUGUUGGGUUAAGUCCCGCAACGAGCGCAACCCUUGUCUUUAGUUGCCAUCAUUAAGUUGGGCACUCUAGAGAGACUGCCAGGGAUAACCUGGAG
Molecule: ribosomal RNA, 224 nt
Filed under: Clostridioides difficile
Lineage: Bacteria; Bacillati; Bacillota; Clostridia; Peptostreptococcales; Peptostreptococcaceae
Description: partial 16S ribosomal RNA
Rfam family: Bacterial small subunit ribosomal RNA
Source: RNAcentral